RNAcentral lists this ribosomal RNA (465 nucleotides) under uncultured bacterium. Its description in RNAcentral is "bacterial SSU rRNA". It matches the Rfam family "Bacterial small subunit ribosomal RNA", at positions 198 to 644 of the family's 1533-position model. The record is from RNAcentral.
GGAGGAAAGCAGGGGAUCGCAAGACCUUGCGCUUUUGGAGCGGCCGAUGUCUGAUUAGCUAGUUGGUGAGGUAAAGGCUUACCAAGGCGUCGAUCAGUAGCUGGUCUGAGAGGACGACCAGCCACACUGGGACUGAGACACGGCCCAGACUCCUACGGGAGGCAGCAGUGGGGAAUUUUGGACAAUGGGGGAAACCCUGAUCCAGCCAUGCCGCGUGAGUGAAGAAGGCCUUCGGGUUGUAAAGCUCUUUCAGCCGGAACGAAACGGUCACGGUUAAUACCCGUGACUACUGACGGUACCGGAAGAAGAAGCACCGGCUAACUACGUGCCAGCAGCCGCGGUAAUACGUAGGGUGCGAGCGUUAAUCGGAAUUACUGGGCGUAAAGCGUGCGCAGGCGGUUUUGUAAGUCAGAUGUGAAAUCCCCGGGCUUAACCUGGGAACUGCGUUUGAAACUACAAGGCUAG